UCAGCAAGUGGAUGAGGACAAGCAGCACCACUGCCAGCCCCUCUGCAGCAUGACUGCACCCCAAAGGGUGCUGCUGGAGGCUGGGGAGGGUUCACCUGAGCCUCCGUCUCUCCAUCUCUGGAAGCUCCCUCACCUUUCCAUGUAAUAAGCAGAGUGACUUCCCCAUUCCACGUGUGUUGCCCGGCUCUUCUGGCCCAGCCCAACCUCUGAGCCUCAGACCAGGAAAUGUGAAACCAGAUGAGAAUGGGCCUUGCAGCCACUGGGAAAGGCAGCAAAGCCCAAGAAAUUAAUAUCCCCAUGAAUAUCUGGAGUUGACUGAAGGUCAGAAGAAAUGGGUGGCAGAAGAAAGAGAAAAAGAAACAUUGACAGAUGGAAUCCCUGCCAGGCCACUUUCAGUAUCAAGAAAAGUGAUCAGGUGGCAGAGCAAUCCAUGGAGGCUUCAGACUGAUGCCCAGUGACAGCUGACUGCAAGCAAAGUCAAAGUGGUUAAGGCCACUUAAAUAUACUCCGUAUUCACGAGUCCAAAUUAAAUACUCCCUAUUCACAUCCAAUUUAAACCUGCAUCCCCUGCGUGGGCGGUGGAUGUAAACGCUGAGAAAGCCAAAGCUAAGUGUGGCCCCCUGCCAGGCCAGCUGCUCCCUCUGUUCUCAGCAGCUGCUACUGGACCUGGGAAGGUUCCAAUCUGCUCCCACUGGUGGGAAAGACCGCCCCGCUCCUGGCGUCGGGGAGGCCCUGGAGCUCUUCUUUCCUCCUGAAAGUCCACGCAGCACGGUCGCUGGGAAGGCAGGGAAGCCCAAGAAAAGCCCAUUCUGAUCUAGAAAAGCAAAGUGAAAGGUUAAGGUGGAUAUGAGGGAAGUUGAGGGCUUCUUAGUAGAACACCUAAUCUCCCAGGGAGCUGCUGUUCCCCCUUUCUGGGCUGCCUCGAGUGUGAUUGUUAAGUCAAAUUGGCCCCAUCCGCUCCUUGGCUGAAUUUGCCCGGAUUCUCUCUGGAACACAGGACUCAGCACCUCCACAGAUGCAUCUCCCCUGACAGUUCCAUCUGCACCUGAGCCCUUCGUCAAGUUAAUGGGUCACAGGCGCUCUAACUGGACUCAUGCUGCUGUGAAGCACUGCGCAUGUCUACCGCAGGAUACGGACCACCCUCGUAAAUAUCCCAGGCGAUGCUGAGGUACUAAUGAGCCUGCACUUGUGCC
Molecule: long non-coding RNA, 1193 nt
Filed under: Homo sapiens (human)
Lineage: Eukaryota; Metazoa; Chordata; Mammalia; Primates; Hominidae
Description: HSALNT0198917
Source: RNAcentral